AAAAGUAGUAUAUAUACUACAUGUUUCGUUUUAAUUUUUUUAAUGAACUUAGUAAGAAAUAUGAAACAAUUAAAUUUCGAAAUUAGAAUAUCAAGUAUGAAUAUCGACCGUCUCUAGCGCAAGUGGCAAAAGGCUUAGUGAUUGAUACCCGAGGUAUCAAGUUCGAAACCUUACUGCUUUUCAUUUCCAGCUAAGUUUAUUUCUAAAAAAUAUAAACAAAACGAAUAGUAUGCCCUUUCUAUCUAAAAAAAAAGAAUCUUAAAUAUUAAUCAUUAAAUUCUUAGCUAACUACGUUGCAUAGUAUUGGUCAUUUUUCUUUGGUCAUUUUUCUUUGUGAUUAAUUCGGCAAUUAAGACAGUUUUUUUUAGAGAGAGAAAGAUAAUAGGCUAUUAUGUCAAUCAUUAAAUUCUUGGCCAACUACGUUAUAUAGUAUUGGUCAUUUUUCUUUGUGAUUAAUUUGACAAUUAAGAAAUUUUUUUUAGAGAGAGAAAGAUAGUAGACUAUUAGUUUUGUCUUUUUUGUCAAAAAUAAGUUGAAAUAUAAAGUAAUAAGUUUCGAACGUAAAACCGUAGUAUCAACUAAAAAAUCAUAGCCAACUAGUUAGUAGAGAGAAAUUAUUUACGAAUCUAAUCUACACAAAUUGGAAGGAAUAUAUACACUUGACCACUAAACUUUUAUAGGAAUAAAUAUAUAAUCUUAUUACUUUGUAUAAAUACAUGUACAAUUAACCCAUUGAAAUAUGCAAGAAUGAAAAUAGAUACACAUCGACCGUCCCUAGAGCAAAUGGCAAAGGGCUUGGUGGUUGGUACUCGAGAUCCAAGUUCGAAUUCUAGUUGAUUCACAUUUUCAGCUAAAUUUAUUUCUAAAUGAAAUAAGUGAAACGGAUAACGUGCUAUCUAUCUCUCUCAAAAAAAAAAAAGAAAAAAAAAA
This 930-nucleotide long non-coding RNA is filed under the name Ananas comosus (pineapple). Its description in RNAcentral is "long non-coding RNA (ACOM_LNC007656)". The record is from RNAcentral. Lineage: Eukaryota; Viridiplantae; Streptophyta; Magnoliopsida; Poales; Bromeliaceae.